AUAACGGUCCUAAGGUAGCGAAAUUCCUUGUCAGGUAAGUUCUGACCCGCACGAAUGGCGUAAUGAUUUGGGCACUGUCUCAACAGCCCGCCCGGCGAAAUUGUAGUACUGGUGAAGAUGCCAGUUACCCGCAACUAGACGGAAAGACCCCAUGGAGCUUUACUGCAGCUUAAUACUGGAAUUCGGUAAAUCAUGUACAGGAUAGGUGGGAGACUAGGAAGCAUUGGCGUCAGCCAGUGUGGAGUCGCUGGUGGGAUACCACUCUUGAUUUGCUGGGUUUCUAACCUGCGGCCGUGAAUCCGGUCGGGGGACACUGUUAGGCGGGCAGUUUGACUGGGGCGGUCGCCUCCAAAAGAGUAACGGAGGCGCUCAAAGGUUGGCUCAGCACGGACGGAAAUCGUGCACUGAGUGUAAACGUAUAAGCCAGCCUAACUGCGAGACCGACGGGUCGAGCAGUAACGAAAGUUGGAGUUAGUGAUCCGGUGGUAUGUGAGUGGAAAUGCCAUCGCUCAACGGAUAAAAGCUACCCUGGGGAUAACAGGCUGAUCUCCCCCAAGCGUCCACAGCGACGGGGAGGUUUGGCACCUCGAUGUCGGCUCGUCACAUCCUGGGGCUGAAUUCGGUCCCAAGGGUUCGGCUGUUCGCCGAUUAAAGUGGCACGCGAGCUGGGUUCAGAACGUCGUGAGACAGUUCGGUCCCUAUCUGUUGCGGGCGUAAGAGAUUUGAAGGGAGCUGUCCUUAGUACGAGAGGACCGGGAUGGACGUACCUCUGGUGCACCAGUUGUCCUGCCAAGGGCAUAGCUGGGUAGCUAUGUACGGACGAGAUAAACGCUGAAAGCAUCUAAGCGUGAAACUCCCCCUAAGAUGAGAUCUCUCAUCCUUCAUGGAGUAAGGGCCCAGGAAGACUACCUGGUUGAUAGGCAAGAGGUGGAAGCGCAGUAAUGUGUGUAGCUGACUUGUACUAAUAGCCCGAGGGCUUGACCUA
This 985-nucleotide ribosomal RNA is filed under the name human gut metagenome. RNAcentral's name for it is "bacterial LSU rRNA". It matches the Rfam family "Bacterial large subunit ribosomal RNA", at positions 1942 to 2925 of the family's 2925-position model. The record is from RNAcentral.